RNAcentral lists this non-coding RNA (158 nucleotides) under Alphaproteobacteria bacterium. RNAcentral's name for it is "6S RNA". It matches the Rfam family "6S / SsrS RNA". From Rfam's summary of the family: E. coli 6S RNA was the first non coding RNA to be sequenced, but its function was unknown until recently. Lineage: Bacteria; Pseudomonadati; Pseudomonadota; Alphaproteobacteria. The record is from RNAcentral.
CGGUUGCUGCGCGGUGCGUCCGGCUAAAAUAUCCCGGGGGCUACAGUGAUCCUCAUAGGGAACUGUCCCUGCCGGGAUCGUGGUCCCGGUACACGGUGCCCACCUGGUUUACCAGGCCUUUGAGGAUAUAUGCGGCCGACGGCCAACGCGGCUUCCGC